RNAcentral lists this long non-coding RNA (385 nucleotides) under Homo sapiens (human). RNAcentral describes it as "non-protein coding LBX1-AS1:3". Lineage: Eukaryota; Metazoa; Chordata; Mammalia; Primates; Hominidae. The record is from RNAcentral.
AUUGCACCCGAACCUCGGGCGACUGAAAAGCCACCGCCCCCACCCCAAACUGCGAGCCGCGCUCCUGGCGCACCCGCCUCCCGCCGGCCUAGCUGCAAUGACCGCACCGGCCCGAAGGUCUCGGUCUCUCCGACCCGGGAUGUGGAGCCCGAAAGAGUGGUGGGAACCCCAGCCCGGGAGGGACGCGGCCGCCGCUCGGGCCAGAUCCCCUUAUCCAGGCCACCUUUGGAAACCAGCCCACCUGCUACACCAACCUUUUCCCAACACCGUGGUCCCACCCCUACCUUCGCUGCUGAAAAACCGCAUUGUGUGGGGGUCUGGAAUCUUCUGGACUCCUGGGACCCCAAUCCGCUUGCCUCUUGUACCCCUCUUGCAGAGCAAUGAG